CAGCUUGCUUCAGUCAUUGUUUAUUUCACUCUAACUCCUCAUUAGAUCUUACUGCUCACUCGUGUUACGUGCUGCAUGCUUUAUUGCGCGGGGCUGCUGUUCUGAGGUUCACUUACAGUAGCAGGCAGGAAAUCAUGUUCUCCCCACAACGUUCAGAGUUUCCAGCUCCAAAAGGUCAUUGUAGGAAAGUCUGUGUGAGGAAGUACAAUAAAGGAGUGGAAAAUAUCUAAACGAGUGUCGCCGGUUUGCGGAGGCCACACAAGAACAGUCAUCCCUGUCGCUCUGGAGAUGGAGGAGGAAGUAAUCCCCCUGGCUCGUGAGUUUCCGUAUUAAGCAAGAAGAGGGUUGUGUCACUUACUUAACAAAAUACAAAAUGAGCUUGUACGUUUCAAACUGCUCAUUUUCACCGGUCAGUCCAAGGCCCUGAUUGAGCAAAGCAACAAAGCUGCAUUGUCUCCCAGCAAGCCUCACCAGCCCAGGUACAACACGGCAUCCUGAGAGCACAGCUCUAACACACACCUUCAUUUGCUACCAUCAUAAAAGAAAACAACCUGAGCCCUUUGACUGCUGCUUAAAAUAACUGCAAAGGGCUUCUCACAUGGAGAAUUAAUGGGGGGGAGCACUGAAACCAAACAGAAAUGUCCUCAUCUGAGAGAUGUGGCUGUGUCGCAGCAUUAUAACCAUGGCAGAGCCUUUACUGUGAUGUGCUAGAGGUCAGAUGGAAAACUCUGGUUUGCCUCUUUAAUCUUAUGUUUAUAAUUUGAUAGCAAAGCAUUUUUUGCAGUGACUUGUUACUUGAGCGAUUGUACAUAUAAGUAAUUGUUUGCGUGCCAUAUUAAGGAAAAAAAUAAUAUAGUCUACACAGCAACAUGGUUGAAAAUCCUUUUGCAGUAAUACAUUGACAUAGCAUUUAUAAUAUCGGAUGAGUUUGUCACGUAAAAAUGGUAAUGUCCAUGUAGAAAACGACUAAUGUUUUAUGCUAUUUCUCUCCCAGUCAUUAUGCACCUGUUGUCUUAGACUCCAGUUAUUUAUUUAGUAACUGUAGCUGUAAAGGCACCUUUAUGGACUGUUAGUACAACUAGAGCUUUUAUCUAUUUAUGCUAUCUUAUAGCAAUAGGCUAAGGCAGACUUUGUUUAAUUGGCCCUCCUCACCUUUAGCUAUGGAAAAUGUUAAUUAGCCAGAAGAACUGGGGAGCAGCACAGUGGAAACUUCUUACAAACAAACUGUUAGGAAAGAAAUGUGACCUUAACAAAACGGAAGCUGGAAGCAUUAGGCACCCUGUAAAUAGUUUGGGGUUACGGUUCCUGAAUGGGGAAGAACGGGUUGCAGUCCCUGAGUAUUGUCAUGGCCAAAACUGCUCAGGAACGUAGCAAGUGGAAGAGCUUCCUGUGAGCACCCAGAGCUCCCCGGGACGGCUGCAGCUGGUCCACGUGUGGCCAUCGGGGCCCGUGAGCUGCGAGCCGGAGUGCAGCGACCGCUGCUGCAAGCAAAGGCUUUUAAAGGCCUUGGGACCAGAAGAUGCUGUUGCAACACAGACAACACUUAAACAACAUUAGAGAGUGUAAAUGCAUUAAUACAGUGUAGGUUUCAAAUAUGACAGCGUAAGGCGGAGCCAAUAUAGCCAUGGUAAAUCACUCAGGGCAGCAGUGGCUGAGGUCUCUAAAUGGGUCAAAACCCCAGAGCCAAGCGAUAAGAGCUGCGGCACUUCUGAUCUUAUCGGUGCCAUAAAACGUGACCUCUCGCUGUGCAGGUUUGCAUUGUUCGCAGCCAAGCGUGUGAGCAGGAGAGAGGAUAUUUAUUUAAUGGAGAUUAAAAGUCUUAUUGUUUUACUGCUUUGUUGAACAAAAAGUACAGAGAAUUGUUUCCUAGGACUGUGCUACAGCCGUGGUUUGAUCACACUGAUAGUUGGUUUUAGUGGUUGCUUGUAGCUGCUGGGACUCUUUCAAAACCCUCUCCUGCCCCACGCCGUUUGUUGAGAAAGGAGCCUGUUCUCCUGCUCUGAGCAGCUCUCCUCUCUCUAAGCUCUCUUGCUGCGUCGUUUAACAAAUUAGUUAUUGUCCUGAGCAAAACAAUAUAUUAAACGGGGAUUUUGAGUUGUGUGAUUUUAACCACUUGGUUAAAAACAAACAAGCAAGCGGCUCUGACCCGCAGCUGCGUGUCCCAGACCUCCCCAGCACCGCCGCGUUUCACCUCCGAGAAAUCAGAUCAAACAUAAGUUCAAUUGUUUUGCGAUGAGUUGCAGCGAGGUAGCGCUGUCAGUUUAAUUAGCUCCUAACUCCAGACUAGGAGCUUCUAAUCAAGGGGCUCGGAAGCUGAGGGUUAGGGAAAUAAAAGCCGUGACGGCAGAGCUGUUGCUGGCAGGGCUGAGGCGGCGAUCGUCACAGGCACCGGGGUAGGGAAAACGUCUCUGCAACUCUGAUGCAGAGCACAGAUAGCGGGGAAUCAGCUGGAAAAGGUUACAGGUGUGAACCUGGGCCUUGUGCACAUUGUAUCCAGCCAGCAGUCACCUCUGUGCAUGGCGAGGAGGGCGAAUGAUUAGUAAUUUGUAUUUGAUUGAUUUUCUACCUUUUCUCUCCCUGGCCACCUGAAAGUCUACUGAGGAGAUGAUAAUCUGGAGAUGAGUCAUUCAGUAGGCAAACCCUUCUGCACACAGAUUUUGUGCUGUAGCUUAUGGUACGUAGAUCAUUUGCAGUAUUUGUUGUACAAGUUUAUAACUGUUUUUAUUGGCCUUUUAAGUCUUGGGCAAUAUUACGACACCCUCACUGGCAGGACAGUAAAUGUAUAAAUCAGAUGUUUACCAUGAUGAAUCAACUGUUACGACUUUCUAAAGCUUUGUUUUCUGAAAGUAUUUGCUCUCUUUGUCUGAAACGUAUUGUUCGUGCCAACACGUUCCCUGAGAAGUUUGCAAAAAACACCAAAGACAAAACAGAUACAAAGGAAGAAACACAUGUUUUUAAAUGGGAGUCUCAUUAUUCUAAAAACGUUUAUAUGUUUAAGUCUCCAAAUAUGAGCAAUUGUUUCGUUUUACUGAGACAGACUUGCAGCCAAACUAGGCUUGACAUGAAUUAGUAAGAAAGACCUUCUGAAAUCUGCUGCUACAGGAGAAACAUGUUGCUGUAUCCAAAACAUCCAGAGGGGAAUUAUGCAGAGAUUACUCAUCACCGGAGCAAAGGCUUAAUUGCAAGUUCCCAGCACUGAUUUGCGUCUGGGCCACAGCACCGGCUUCUCUUGCUGUGCACGUUCCCUUGGGCAACAGGAAAAGGCUUUUGCCUCCCCUGCCACUGGUGUUGGCCGGGACUGGACUCUGAUUGCACCCAUGAUGAACGUGUUUGUAUCCGUGAAGUGAGCGCCCUGAGGGAGGUCCCGUCAUUACAGCCCAGGCUGGUGAGCAGCAAGAAUGGAGCCCCGACCCUAAAGCCGGACUGCGCGCUCGCCUCUCGGCUGCGCCUUUCGUUGGCCGAGCUCGCGACGUCUGCUCUGCUGGAUGGGAGCGAACUGGACAGCUCGAGCUCCUGCGCGAUGGAGGUGAUUCGGGAUGGCUCUCUGCUGCACACCUGCUGUGAACCUUCAAAUCCCGACCCACAGCACCCGCUUCUGGAACACGCAAUAAAAACUGUAAUUAAAAACAAUGCUUUCACCUCUGUGGUAAGGUCUGGAAAUACGGCAUGGAGGUAUGUGGAUGGCUGAGAAACUGAGAAAUAAUAAUCUAAAAUCAAAUUAAAGGAACCACAGGCUGUGUUAGUCUUAAAAAUUUCAUGACUUCAAAAGAGAUUUGGUGAUGGUCAAAUACUGGAAGCAAAGGUUCCUGCUCUGCUCGUUUGCUUUUCUGGCAGUUGGUGUUGACAACAAGCACAUAAAGUUGUACGUAAUUUUAGAAAAAUAAGCAAAACAUAAUUUAGUAUGUUAUGUAGCUUCUAUUGACUAUUUCUCAGCUCAAAACCAAGCUAUAAAGGAGUUAAUGCAGUUUCUACAGAGGCAAGCCCAUUGUCUGUGCUCCGUGCUGCUGGAACCGCUCCACCGCUCCUGCUGCGGCCCAGCUGACUCACACUCUGUCUGGAAAAGGAGAGUCUCACAUCUUUAUUGCCUCCACCUCGGUUUAACUGUUGGUACACGGCUCCAGGAGCUGCUCAGGGAAUCCUCUUCUGCCUCGUGAUCCUGGCGGGUGACGUUAUGGGCUUUGUGCCCUGGUUCUCCCUGCUCCGCCUGACCCAGGAUCCACAGGUGACGGCACGGGGACGCCUGCGGCACGUGGCACAGAUGGGAAGGUGGCAGCCAGCCACGAGCAAGGUGUACGAGAGACCCGCGUGUUUGGGGUUGUCAGCCCCAGGAGCCUUCACUUCCCGUUCAUUUCUGCCUAAGGGAGCGCCCAGCAGUGCCCGUCCUGCUGCCAUCGCGCCCGUUCCCAGCUCCGGCAGCUCCAGGGCACUGGGGACAGCAGAGCCAGGCUGCCCGGACACCCCACUGCGCCGUGAUUCACCUCGCCCAAGGCAGCUGAUGGAAGGGGUUCUGGCGGGGUGGCUCUGUACGACUGGCACUUGGAUUUGGAGAGUUAGCAGUAGGUGUUUCGAGUCCCGUCUCCAUGGAGCAUGAAUACAAGUUUCAGCCAGGAAAUGUCCACACGCAAAUACAUCUCAGAAUUAUUCAACAGGUAAGAGGACCACCCUUUGUUUCUAGGGGAAUGAAUUUUCAAGGGGAAAAAACCAAGGUCCCCCCAAAAAGAUGCAACAACUUGGGGAUGUUCAUUGUUAAAUUAAGAAAACUAGAAUAAAUCAAAAGUUCGUAUCUUUGGGGAGAAAAGAGAUGGAAAGAAUAGGAGGAAAAGCACAGAUAUCAUUAGAACAAAACCCUAAAGUUGAAAAAAGUCCUAAACAAAUUAAAUUAUACAUGUAAGGAGCACAAACAGAUAUCUACUUUGAAAAGAGAUUUAACCCAGUUCUUCAAAGAAACAAAGCCCAGCAGUAAUUAGUGAGUGCUUUUAUCUCUUCUGGAUUAGAGUAUCCCAUAAAGCUGAAUUCCUAGAGGUGAUGUUCCUCCUCCCCAAAUAUAAAUCACUAGAAGACGCUGUGCAAACCUUUCCCUGCCCCAGCCCUAUAGGAGCCCCUGGAUUCCCACUGCUCGGGCUGUGCUUGUUUUGCUUAUCAGAAACUCAGCUGUGAGCAGCCCCCGAAUGGAAAGAGGAGAAAAGGAACCUCAGGAAACCAGGACUUCUUUGAUGUUCCUAUGAGUUACGACUCAGGGUGUAAAAUCCCACUGGUCUCCAGCGGUUUGAGACAAUACUGACGUUUUCUAACUUCUUCGUGAGAGCGAAGUGGGAGCGUCAUGCGGGCAGGCGCUACAAGCAAUCAUUUUCUGUCUCUCUGGGUAUGUGCACCCUGGCCAAGCAGAGUGAAAUCAGUCCUUCAUAUAGAAAGUGCACGUCGCGCUGCAGCGUGAUGGGCAAAACUGCGUGGCUGCGGAGCCCAGACCUCUUAAAACCCGAGCUCAGAGCAGGAUACGGAUCCCUGUCCAACCCCAAGGCCUGGGGAAAGCCCUUAUUUACUCUUUGUAGGAAGUUUCAUGCCAGGGCUGACCCAUGAAUGACUUGUGCCAGCUGCUUAGGUGCUCUUUUUAUGACAUGAGUAAAUAUGUCGUAAAUCCUUGAGGGGGAAAAAGCUCGGCACAUCUCACGCUUGCAUGCAGUCAUGCAACUGUAUUUCAAUAUACAUUUGGCUUUACGCCUUUGGAGUUCCCGGAGCACCCGUGACCCCGCAGGGGGGCGGCAGGCAGGUGGUCCGGGGCAGCCGGUGCGCUGCUGCUGUUGUGCCGUGCGGCCACGGCAGCGCGGGUGCGGAGACCCCGCCCCGGCCGCGCUGCGGGACUUCUGCCGCUUGUUGCCCUUCGAGAGAAAAAGAAAAGGAAAAUGAAUCAUCAUCAGCAAUGUAGGUCAGGGUGGAAAAUACAACUGGGGAAAUGUUCCCAAACUACUCUGGAAAAAAUUAAGAUCAAUUCGUGUGCCACCACCUCUGACAUUUUAGCCAACAGACUGGAUACCAGCAGCCCAAAAUUUACAAGUUGAGCCGAGUGGAUGUUAAGCACCCAGACCAAGAGUGGCAAACAUUGCCAGAGAUUUUCUCCAGCCAGUUCCUGCAGCGCAGACGUGCUCAUCACUCUUCUGUGGAUUUAGAUGGUUCCCAGUGGGCAGCUCCUUUUUCUUUAGUUCCUGUGCUUCAAGAGACUGAAGUCUAUCUGUUUCGGCAGAGGUGCCCGGGCUCCGAGCUGUCAGCAAAGUUCACAUUGGUAGCAUUAAUCAUCUGGUAGUUGCCGUUCUCCAUUUCCUUGUGCUAGCCUGUGUUCUCAGCAGAGAUCUCUGACCUGGACGAGGAGGACUAAGAGGCAGCUUCAGGCCGAGCGUGGGAAGGGAGACCCGCGGGGGGCCGUGCCGGUCCCGUGGGGUUUUAACCGCGCUCGAGAUGUGGGGCAGCUCCAGCCACCACAAACUCCUCACCAGGACACCAGUGUCUGCAGGUUUUGCUGCACGUUUUGCAGCGCAGGACCAAGCCGGGGCUGGGAGGCUGUUUUGGAAAUGAAAACUCACCACUUCCCAAACUUGCAAACACGGGACCUUGCUGUUAGCAUGGCAACCUCCCACACCACCAGCUGCGAAACUCACCGUUCCUGCACAGCCAAAGAGUACCUCGCCUUUCCAGCUAUUUCCUUGCGUAAAUCCAUGAUGCCUAAGUUAGGGCUUUGGGGCUGGUUGUUCGUUCGGACAUGUACGUAGGCAAGAAGGCAUGUUUAUUUUGCUCACCACGGUUGUCACACAGAACAGAUACAGUUCUUCUGGCAUCCUUAGGCACAACUUUCUUUUCUCUGUUUCUACUUCUAACAUCUUUUCCCUUAGUACUGAGAUAAGUUACUGAGAUUAAAUGAGCUGAAGUCAUCUUGGGAAGGCUUAUUAUUAUUAUUAAGGUAAGUUCCUGUCUUUAGUAACAGGGGUAAUUAUUAGUAAUAGUGUCAUUUACUGUUUAAACAGUGUUUUCUGUGCACAGUACUUUACAAACAGAUAAAAAUUAUUGUAGUUAUUUUAUUGAGAUAAAACUUCACAAACUCAGCAGCUGUGAUCACUGUGCUCUGUUUAAGGAUGAAAUAGCACGUCUGUAAAACAAUGUCACGUUCCAAAGUAGAAUGAAGCAUCACGCCACUUCUGAUGCCACGGGUACGUGUGAGGCGAGCUGUGAAUCUGGAAGCACUCUUGAUCGCACCACAGCGUUUGAGAAGUCUGAAGGAGGGAGGAUGAGUGAGACAGCACCACAGGAGACAGAGGGAGGGCCAGGCUAGAGCUGCGAGCUGAGCCCAGGCGUGCAAUGGCGUGUCUGCACGGUUUUUCAUUCCGAGCCAAACAUGUAGCAGAACCAGCAGUAAAUAAUUCAUUUCUCUCUGUGCUUUCAGCUUCACAGCCCAGGCAGUGAAAGGCACUGAGUGGCCGUGUGUGGGUGCUGUCCUAACCAAGCACGGGGUUGUCUUCAUCAGAAAUGCAGAGACACGUCACAGCGCAGCUGCCCCGCAGAGCGGUGCCCGGGGCCCUGGGUGCCCGGGGCCCUGGGUGCCUGGCCCAGCUUUGUUCUGCUCACACGGCUCUUUCCGUCCUCCCUUCUCCGUUCAGCAGGUGUGGCCACAUGGUGCUCUGCCAGCGGUGGCAGCAGCCCCAGGCAGGCUGGGGUGAGGAUCUCCUGGUGACAAGCUGAGCAGCCAAAUGGGAAGCGACACUGAAAACAGGCAUCGGUUCACCCAGCACGCGGAAAACUAAUGUUUGCUGUAUAUCGUAGGUAAGUCUCUAAAGCAAGGCAGCUUGCAGCCAGAGGAACCCGUAUCUGUAAAAGUUAUGUUCUUCACUGUCGCAAACCGUUGAGCUUGAUAUAGACAUUGUUAGGGUUCAUCCUCUGCCCUGGAUUACGGACAGAGGCAGCCAGGACAGCCACAGCAUUCGGUCCUGCAAUUACAGUGUCUGGUAUGGAGCGGCUGUCUCAAGUGCCUGGCAUUUUUUUAUUAGUAUUUAUUUCUAUUUCUGUGCCUUAAGCAUUGUGGUUUCUCUCCAAUACAUUUAUCAGACCUAAGUGGCGCAGCUUUUGCAACAAGAAAACCAGGUCUCAUUGUCUGAAAAAGGCGAAGGCAGAUAGUUGAGGUUUGGUGUUCAGAUGUGUCUGUCUUAGCUGCUCUAUUUCAAAAUUAAAAAGUAGAGAGCCUAAAAAUACAUGGCUGAAAUCCUUUUCUGAUUCCUAGGCCAGCUUCUGAGAGGCAGGAAUUUAAAUCGGCCCAGCAAGAGCGAGCGCCGUGUCCGCUGAGCUGUGCUGGGCGCUCUCUCGUCGUGGGGCUGGGGCUGGUCUCGGAGCACACACCAAGCGGCGCUCACCCUUCCUCAAUCCGGUAUUUCUCCAAAACCAAGUCCUGGCGGGGGGUCCGCAGCCCCGGGCAGUGAGGGGCUGAGCAGGCAGACGAGGUGCCGCUGCUCUGCCACAUCCCUACACUCGUGCCAUCUGCAGAAGGCAGCAGUGCUGACUGCUGCAGCACUAGAUAAUGCUCAGUGGCUGCUGUUGCUGCUCUCCAUCAUUACCAGACACAUCGCUUUAAGAAGUUACAACUUCCUGGAAUGAUGUGAAAAAUGAACCGUUUAGAGCAGCAGCGAGUAAUAGGUAAUUGCAGGCUGGAGCAUCUUUAAUCACUUUCAGCCUUAAGUACAUUUUUGAAGAGUGUGGCUCAUUAUUACCUUGCAGAUCUUGACGGAGUUGUACGUUUUUAGUAGCCUAGAUUACAAAUGAAAAAAAAUUGUGUAUAGACGCGGUACUGGUUGGCAAUUAUGGCACAGCUUGGGCUGGGGGGCAGUCUCGACUCCUGCUCUGCUGCAGGCUUUUGUGGGACCAAGGGCAAGUCACCGAGACGUUUGUGUAUGGAGGGGCUAUGGUGCUGCAGUGCCUGCAGUUUCGGGUCCCCUGCAGUCUAGGUGCUGUGAAAUCAGAUCCCUAAAGCAUGUAAAUGUGUAAUGAGAAAAAGAGUGACCCAUGAGAGUCUGUGUGUGGACCAAGAAUUAUGGACAUGAGCCAGCAGAAAGGGUGAAGUGUCGGGUCACUGCUGCCUGGAGAAAGGCACUGAACUUCUUCUGGGACCUCCAGUAAAUGCAGUAAGUCCUGCUGUUGAUUCAGCUCUGCAUUUCCUGCAGCACCAUUUCUCAUCUAUAAAUAGUAAGUGUCUUUUCAUUUACCCAGACAAAUGCAUUGAUACAAGGAGCUCAACUCCAGCUUUCAAGUCAUGUAUAAGUAGACAUUUAAUAGAAAAAGCAUGAAAUGGACAUUUUCCUUUCAAUUCAUAUUCACACAGCUUGUUUUGCAGAGCCUGGGUAUGCUUCCUAUCUGCACAACAUGGCACCUGGGACCAGCCAGGACGGGACUGACUGGGUUUGCUUUGCCGAAGGUCUCCAGGCCCCAUAGCUAUGUCCUCCCCACGGUUUUCUCAGUGCCCGCCUGUCCUCUCCCAUCUCCGGGCCGCGCUGUCUCACCCGCAGGACCAUGGGGCAGCAGAUUCUCAGUGAUGGCAGCACCUCUGCCUGCAACUUGGAAAGCGAAGGACCCACACCACCUGGCUGCGGUGCGGGGCAGAGGUGAACCCGCGCUCCAGCCACAGGCAGAUGCCACCAGCCCUCGCGGUGUUCUCCCGAGAGCAAAUGGAGUCCUCUUCCCCUCCUCUGGUGGUGAUGAAAGGCCGGGAGGGACAAGCGAUCCUCUGCCUACAGCCAUGCACGGGGAUGUGAGCUACCUCAACUGAGCAUCUGACCCCCACAUGCUACGUUUCCAGGUCCCCAGCAAUGAAGAGAGAUUGCAGUGCAGCGUUCUCCGGAUUACUGUGCCACCUCUGUUGAACUGGAGCAUCAACCAUAUAAAUCUUGUGUAAGCUUCUGGCCCCAUUUCAGCCAGUUCACGUGUUAUCUGAAGUGCACUCAGCAGCAAAGCGCUCUGGAGGCUGUUCUUUUGGAUUUUCUGUUAGUGCAAUGCAAGGCGACGCAAAUUUGAAUUCACAUCAACGACACCAUCAUGUUUGCCAUAGGUAAUUAUAUGCAGACAUAUUACGUCUUCCUCUAGAAUGUACCUAUGGAUGGUCUGCAAACAACACUGAAGUUUACAUCUUAAAGGUAAGGUUUUUUUAAAACGUGGCCCUAUGCGUAUGUGCUCUCCAUUUUGCUUGCUUAAUUCAGCUGUCAAAUUCUAACGUCUCACGUUCUCCCAGACAAAACCAUCUCUCCAAAUUGCCUCAAACUGUGACAGUAAGUCACAAUGUCGAUUCUCCUAGCUAGCCAACUGUGCUGCUUAAUUAGGGUGCCUUUCCAAAUCACCUUCGGUAGCAUCGUUGUAACAUAUGGGAUGAGGUUUAGCUAUGUGGUCCGAACCCAGAAACAAAGCUUAGCGCUAAUUGUCUGAACACACGGAGACCCACAGCACAACGGCGUGGGACGUCUGCUCCGGCCUCCAGUCCUCUGGGACAGGCACGGAAAAGCUUUUUGCACGUGGCCCUGGGGAAGAGAAAGGGACAAGUUUGCUGGGGAAAAAAAGAUAUAUAUAUAUAUAUAUAUAUAUAUAUAUAUAUAUAUGUAUGUAUAUCUGUUUCCUGUCUUUAUUGCACUGGGGGUGGAGAAACCAACAUUUCUCUACUCUCUCCUUGGACAUUUUUUCAGAUAAACAGCCGCCUUUCUUCUCCGUGCAGGCCCACUGCUCAGCUUCGUUUAGAGAAGCAGGAGUUCAAAGUGCGCCAUGGGCUUCAGAGGGAGGAAAAGUGGCAGAAAUCCUCCCAGGACAAACAAAAGGAAACCACAGGACUUGAUCCAAGGAGCUCCGUGAAUCCAACAUGCGUAUGAGUUGAGUUGCGCCGCAGCCCAGCUGAAGGGUAUCGAAAUGAAAUCUUCUCCAGGAAAAUCUCCAUGUUAGCACUAUGGAACUUGAAGUUUCAGCUUUAAAGGUCGUCUGGUUUUAUCAAGAUGCCAUUCCGUGCAUUCUCGGUGGUAUUGACAGCAUGCGGUGGGUGAUCUUCCUCCAGCAACCGGACAUGGUGUAUGCAAACAACCCCAAAAUAAUGGACAUUCCUUUUGCAUUUUAAUUUAGCACUGUUUAACUGAUACACUUUGCAUAUGUGUUUAGAACACAAAGAACAGCUCUGGCCUCCUGAGUGGAUUCUGUCACUGGGUUUCAGCAAGUAAAUCAACUCCCUGAUCCUCAGAAAGAGGACGACUGAGCGCAAUAAAUGCUGCAAAACAUGAAAUUGUGAGUUGAAAAUGCAGUGAUACAGAGAAUAAGGCUAAAACAUCUCUGAGAUGUUAAAGAGCGUGUUGAUAGCUGCAUGCAUGGAAGACGAUGAAGUUCAUCCGUAUUGAGAUAAAGUCAUUCGCUUAAUGUUUAGGAGUAUUUCAUACCCUCUGUUUUCUCUCCAGAAAAGCUUUCAGUAAGUCACAAUAUAAAUAUGGUUUGUCAAUGAACCAUAGGCCUGGACCGAUACCCUUCCUGCUGCAGGUGCUGUAAUAACUGAAAGGUAUUCUCAUAACUGUGAUAAGGACAGGGGUGUUUUUUUCAUUUAUGCAAGUGAAAGGUGCUGUUGUCAUCUGAUGAGUUGACUGAGCUUUCUGUAUUUGUGGCAAAAAUCCGAAUAUUCCUACGGCAUCCUGCAGUCAGCAGUUUCACAGCACUGGAUAUUUGCAAAAGAGCCUCCACAUUAUAAUUCGGUGACACAUAAAUCUGCUGCUCCCUAACUUCCAGCACUGGCCUUUCCAAAUCCAAAGUUAAAUGGAUUCUACCCCAAGAGCUGAAUCGUCACCUCAACUGUAGUGCUUGAGAGAUUUGCUGUUACUGAGGAAACUGGUCUCCUACAUAUUUUUAUGGAAUAAUUUCCCAAGGAUAUAUCUUCAGUGUAUGGGUAAUACAGUAUAUCACAACAUUGUAGCUUCUGGACAGUCCAAUAGAGAUGUAAUCUUAUUUUAGCAGAAAUCUGGAUGCUCAUAGAAAUCUGGAUGCUCUGUGAAAUGGAUAGGAAACCUGGUGCAGGUAUUGUUUGGUAUCUGAAAGUACCUUCACAGCUCAUUAGCUUACAGCAGUGACUUCAGCAGAGUCCCCUCCUCCAUCACAGUAACUCCAUCCUCCUCCAUCGCAGUAACUCCAUCCUCCUCCAUCGCAGUAACUAACUCCAUCCUCCUCCAUCGCAGUAACUCCAUCCUCCUCCAUCGCAGUAACUAACUCCAUCCUCCUCCAUCGCAGUAACUCCAUCCUCCUCCAUUGCAAUAAUGCUCGGGCCCUUUUCUGGUGAGCAACGUUUUUUUUCUUUGUGUAAUAGUAAAAUAAGAAAAUGGCACCUGAGGGUGGUGACUUUCCACUGCAUUUUAGGCCUCCUUAACCCACAUUCAUAGCGUCCUGCAUGCACAAAGGAUCUUAGUCACAAUACCUUAAUCUAUAGUUAUUCAUGGUCGCAGUGAACUCCCUGGUACCAGCACCACUCCUGCACCCCGAUGUUGGCCUGGUUUUUGUCUUGGAUCAUUGUGGAUAGGAGGGAAAACAGUAAAUCAUGUAUAUUAUGUAGAGUAACCCUGUUCUACCCAUCUCCCCCUUCCCUGAGCACACUGGAAACCAGCAGCAGACACCAGUUCCCCACUCCUGUUCUCACCAGCUUCCUCUUGAUCUUCCAUAAUUGCUCUUUUCUCCCUGCAACUUGCACAGAUGUAGAUGGACAUGGGGGACGCUUUGCUGCUGAGCAGGAUGAAAUAUGCACCUCUGACAGACAUGACUGCAACUUGCACUGGCUUUCAAUUGCAGCAGAGUGUGAAAACUGGGCAGGGACACGUAUUCACCUGGGCAGGCGCAGUGAAGAUCGCCAUUCGCUCUGUUGCUUCCGAUACACUCAGCACAGACGCUGCCAACAUGAGUGGCUUUUCUUCAGCAUCACUAUUGUGCUGUGCAACACAGCUGUGAUGUUCAAAUGUUAUCACAAGUACCGUUCUUGCCAUACCUGCACUAGCCACUCAUAUCAAAGAGGCUUUUCAACACAGACCUGCAAACAAUCUCAAAUGGGACCUUUCCCUGACCUGUGACAAGCAGGUGCACGUCUUACCUGUCACACGCUGGGAUGUGCAGCUGCCUGGGGCGCGAUGCUCCAGGCUCACCUUGGCCUAUCAAGAAGUCCAGUCCGCAGCCGUUUUGCUCUGAUAAGCGAGGCCGGGGACCUUGCCUGGCAGUCUGUCUAUUUGUAGAUGCGCUGCAUGGACUCAACCCCAUGUGUAUGCUCAGCUCUCACCCAGAUAAAACAGCCUGUGAUGAAUUCCCAGUAAAGAGCAGCAGUGUGAACAGGGGUUGGAGGACCAGCUCCAAUAACUCGAGAGGCACUUGAGGCUGUCAGGAAGACGCGGCCAUGCGUGAGUCCCCGUGGGUGUUCGGGAGGCUGCUGCUCCUGUAGCAAACUGUUCUCUCUCACGACGAGCACUCUGCAGGCAAAAGACACCAAAGCAGGUCAGGUGCCAAAACCACCCCCCCCUCCCUUUAUUCAGUUUGCCAGAUACAGCUAAAUAAUGAACUGCAUUCAUUUAGUACAAGUCUCUCUUACCUCAUGUCUGAUUCAAUGUAAUAGAGGUACUAGAGAUAAAAUGGGUGCAAAUAGUACUUCAUGUAAUCCAGUGGUACACAGAACUCAAUACACUAAUAAUGAAAGCAGCUUUGGUCAUGUACAGAUUGAAACACACAGAAACCAGAUGAUAUAAAUCUUUCACUUGCAAUGGUAUGUAUAUUUUACCUUAUUUAUUAGGUAAGAUUCACGCGUGUUCUGUUUCCUGUUUAUUGUGAUUCAGUUCCUUUGCUGUAGCCUCAGAGUCUAUAGAAAGAACUAUCAUUCAGGGAAAGCAGAACGUUGGGGUUUUUGGAGCCCCAGUAGCUGAAACAACAGUAACUCACCCUCCAGAACAUCACCACCACCACCUGGCAUUCACAAAUGUGAAUGGAGGAGUUCCGGCACAUACUGCAGACCAAAUGACACUGUCAUUUUUUUUCCUGCCAAAAUACACGUGAAAGAGAAACAGAAUGAAAGAUUUCAAGGAAGAUCUAAAGCAGCAGGAAAGCUCAGGGCACAACCUGAAUAAACAGUGGCACUGUGGUCUUGCUGAGAGCCCGAACAGAGAGCUCUUCUUGGCUCGGCGCUGGCACGGGGGCUUGGUGUUGUGGAUCAAAUGACUUUCUCAUAGUACUUGAUUUCUGUGCUAAGAAUUAGGAUUUUAUGUUAUUUUCAGAUAAACAGAACUACAUUGAACAUACUUGACGCUAUCGUAAUUUUUUUCUUCUUAAGGAAACAAUAAAGUUUUGACUAAUAUUUAGGGGUAAAAAGAAGUGAUGUUAUUGAAUACCUUACCAUAUCAAUUUCCUGUUUUGUUUGAUGGGAUGACUAUGAUUUACAGGAUUUCUUUAUGAGACCCAAUUAAAUAUAGAAUUUAUAAUAUUCAUGCAGUUUCUGUGCCAAAUAUACAUAGUGCUGAUACAGCAGGGAUCUCAAAAUAUCAAGCACCUGCUUGGAAGGAACAGCAUUAUGAAUACAUCUCCUUAAACAAUAAUUCAUCAUACUCAGAAGCCUAAAGUUAAGCUGCUCUAGAGCCAACACAGCUGCUUUAUCAUCUUAUUUGCGGGAUACUGCUGACUUACAGUGCUGGAUCUGAUUCUUGCCACUCAUGACUAAGACUGAAUUCCAGGAUUUAGAAGCCAGAGAAGCAGCACUGACUUUGCCAUGAAGGCUCGUGGCUUUCAGAGGGGAAUCCGAGCUGUGGAUGGUGUGUCCGCACUGCUCACAUAACACACCAGGCAAUCGCAUCGGUCAGAUCAGGGAACCAUCCGAAGCUGAUGUGUUCACAGAGCCUGGGAGAACCUUCGCAAACCUCACCGAGGAAUGCAGGGAAAUCGUCCCUCUCCACCAGGAUCCUCAUCCUUGAUCACCUCCCCCCAGAAAAGACGGUUAUGGGCCAGGGUGUUCCCUAAUUAAAGUCAGCUGAGGCGCCAGCUCAGCGCAGUCGAGACGACACCUUUUUCCCCAGGGAAGACUGCUCUGCUCAGAAUAAUGAAAUUAAUUUUAAUCUGCAUGACUUCCUUGUGAGAGGACUUUGAUCUCACAUAAUUUAGGUUUAUGAUAUUAUUUUUCCAGACAGGCAGCACUAUAGAAGCGAGAGAGCCUGAGAGCACUCACAGCCCAGCUGGGAGCACCUGCGCCCAGUUCAGGAUAUAUAUACGUGAGCAGCAUACGUGGGAUUCUGGGGUACAAAAAACCAGCACCAAGUACGGCAGUGGUUUCCAGUCCAUUUUCACUGCAUGGAAGCAGAAUCCUGCUGUGCCCAUUCCAGACAGGUGUUGGUAUAAUUGGUCCUUUAUAGCUCAGACUUUACAGCAUCCCUUAGCAGCCAGCUUCCCUGAUUAAGUAUACUUCAUUAGGAAGCUUUUCCAAAUCUCUAAUUGAAACCUUUGCUGCAUGUGGAGCCACCACUUUUCCUGCCCCUUUGGUGACCAGGACAAUAUUUCAGAAACAUUCUCUUUGCAGACUUCUUGAUAAUUAGAAACCUUUAUCAUCAGGUCUUUUCAUUUCAAAGCUCUACAGAUUCACCACUUGACAGUUUUUGCUUACAAAAAGUAAAUUUGUUUAAACUUCUUUCUAAUGCCUGUUGCUCUCCUGGGACCAGAGAUACUUGAGCCCUUUCUGCCCCUGUUCACCAACGGAAUGUAUUUCAGACGACUGCUGCUGUGAUGUGGGCACUGAAAGCUCUAUCAGUCAAUACUGGCCUGUCUGAUGCCUUAUGAACGUUGCUGAACUUCUUAGACGUAUUGGGAUUAAAGCCUCCUGAGGAAUUUGAACUAGAGUAUGAGCAAGUCUACCACUGCAAAAUCAACCUGUUGAAAAAUACCAAUCCUACCAGUAGUAUCCACACUUCAAUACAGUUGCUUAUAGUAAAAAUAAAUAAUUAAAAAAAUACAUUAAAAAGAAAAAACCCACAAAACCCAAAGAAACAAAAGCAAACACUCUGAGCAAGAGCUUUUCCAGCCCAGUGCGGGGUUUGCAGGGCAGCUCUGGAUGCCACAGAUGCUUUGAGAGCAUGAUUGCUGGGCAGCCUUUAAAAACCACCCUGGACCAAACAGCUCAGGCCUCUUUCUAUUAAAGUCUGCGCCACUGUGAAGGCAGCGACCGCCCUCGUAUCUCCACGAAAUAACCCUUCGGGUUGGAACAAAUAAGGAGUGUUUCAUCCAGACUGCUAUUGCCUGAAGUGUAAAAAUAGAUUGAGGGCUGUUUUCCGAAACAAAAUGCUGAGCAUGGCAGACUUGGGACGGGGCGAGAACAGAGCAAGAAAACCUCAGAUUUGUUUGAGAUACAGGGAGAUUUGCUUAUCUAAUCCAAACCCCUCUUGUCAGCAUUUUCAUCAUCUCACAUACCGUCCCGCGGUACCUUUUGCUCCCCGUCCGCUGGAGGGUUGGUUCGGGAUGGUUCUCUGACGGCUGCAAUCUCUGCCCGCUGCGUUCCACUGAACCUCCGUUUCAACGAUGCAGAAAAUUAAUUAGGGCAUUUUAUUUCCUUCGCAUGCAGACCUAAAUACUGUUUCCAAGGCUGCAAAUACGGUACCUCUGUAAAUGAAUAAACACAAAAUUAGACUUCUUUUGCAUGAUUUCUGAAGCCGAUAGCAAAAACAACCGUGAUGGGACCUCGACACAGAAUCUGCUCUUUUAACCAUACUCGAAAAACUUCUGUGUACCAAUUACAGAGAUUACAUUGCUCAAAGUGAUGCAGAGAACUAAAUAAUCAGGCAAAUACACGAACCAGAUGUCAGUUCAUCAGACCCAGGGAAGCAGUACUCCGCGGUGAAUGGAAGACGAUCUGUGGGAUGUCCAUUGGCUCAGCCGUAAACUUCCUUCCCGUCAUUGUUUUUUUCUGUGGCCUUUUUGCUCAUGAGUAGCACAGAUCCCUCCGCUGCACUCGGCGCAAGAGCCCAACGAUGGGUUGAGCUGGGCUGGCGGGGACGUGCAGCGAGGAGGCUGAGGCUGAGUGUGGGACUAUCAAUGCUGCGCUCACCUCACCCGCUCCACUCAUGCACCGUGCUCAAACGUUUCAGUGCCAGUAGGACAAAAUGUGGAUUUGUGUCUUUAGCUUCACUCAUGAAAAUCUGUACGGUUCAACAAGCCUUUGGAAAUCCUAGCCAUAUGCAGGUUUUUAGAAGUCAUGCAUUUCACCAGAUGAAAACCUUUGCCAUAUUAGUACUCCGCUACUGAAAAAUACUUGUUUCUACCCAUAUCUAAUAAAUAUAUGGUUGAAGCUCAA
Columba livia (rock pigeon) is the source of this 17332-nucleotide long non-coding RNA. RefSeq lists it as uncharacterized. The record is from RefSeq and is a predicted model, not a curated record. The transcript is spliced from 6 exons. NCBI's taxonomy places the organism in Eukaryota, Metazoa, Chordata, Aves, Columbiformes, Columbidae.